This is a long non-coding RNA of Apus apus (common swift), 1060 nucleotides long. RefSeq lists it as uncharacterized. The record is from RefSeq and is a predicted model, not a curated record. NCBI's taxonomy places the organism in Eukaryota, Metazoa, Chordata, Aves, Apodiformes, Apodidae. The transcript has 2 exons.
GAAACGGGACCGUUUCCCCUUUCCAGCUGCCGGGUUCCCUUUUCUUCGGAAGGCCCGAUGUCCAGGCCGAAAACGGGGAAGCGGCUGCGCCAACCGCGACGGGCCCUGCCCGGAGGCCUUUCCCCCUCUUGUCCCCCCCCCCGGAGCCGGCCCAGCGGGGCCCUCAGCAGCUGAAGGGCUUCACAUACCCUCGGAGGUGGGGAAACAGGAAGCUGGCUGGGCAUGGACCUGGGAACAGCCCGUGGUGCAGUUGUAAGGCUGGUGUCUGGCUCUCCCGGCAUCUCCCUCUGCAAAGGCAGGGGAAGGAAGAACCCUCUGGAGCUGCUGGCCCCGGUACCUGCAGCCCAGCUCCGACAGGGAGAGAGGAGAGCAGGAGUAGGGCAGUCGUGGGGCAGAGCUGACAACACCAAACCUUCAGAAAUUGUGACAUGGGCUUGAAAGGAAGUUCAGCUGUUUCUUCACUGUCUCCAGAUCCUCUUUUCAGCCUCCCUUCCCAGGUAGAAGAAGACAUCCUUUGCAAAAACCAGCUGAGGCUGGUGAGGGACAGUGUCAGCCCCGCAGCACAGGCUUGGAGGAGGAAAGAAGACAAAACAAAGCAGCAAGUGCUGCAGUUUGGCCAGUGUCACUUUGGGGGGAUAGUGAGUGCCUGGAGGCUGGGCUCAGGCUUCUAGGUUGGACAGCACAACCUUGACCUCUGAGGAGUCCAGACUAGAGGUGAACCCCACAACAAGAGCUCACCCCUUUGCUUCUCCUGCAGCACCCAUGCCUCCCAGCCCUGCCCUGGCUGUGCACACACAUCCUGCAUCAGCCUGUGUCACAGCAAAACACUGUGCUGCCCCACUCCAGCUCCAGCUCUGCUUUCUUCCAUGAGUCUCUCUCCCUGGGCCCAGGGCUGUCUGGUGGCUCAUGAUGAGUUCCUGCCCAGCACACGGUGUGCUGAGGCAUCAGGAAGCAGCAUGAAGCACCAGACCAGCAGCAAGGGAGCCCUUCAUAGGUUGGUUAUAAAACUCUCUGUCUUGAUUUUACUGCCUUUAGUAAAGCUUGGUAAAUAUUUCUGGGA